Molecule: long non-coding RNA, 4740 nt
Organism: Gallus gallus (chicken)
Lineage: Eukaryota; Metazoa; Chordata; Aves; Galliformes; Phasianidae
Source: Ensembl
UUUGUAUGUAUGCUUUUUAAUAUCAUUAAUUGUUACACUACACACAACCAGUAACAAUGAUAAAUACUGCCAUGGAAAUGUUAAAAAAAAAAUAUUAUACGUUUCAUGGUGGUUUUUUUUUUUUUCUUUUCUUCAAAAACACAUUUUUAAAUAAAUUAAUGCACAAAACUGAUGGUAGAAAAAAAAAAGAAAACCCAAAACAAACCACAACACAACCGAUCUGUUUAAGGCAAUACUCUACGCGGACGAGAACAGAAGUACAACAUGUGCUACAUGUUCUGAACAGGAAAGAAAAAAGAAGAAAGGAACAUACGAGAUGCAGACUGAUGCUUCGGGAGUGAAAAACUCCCCAAACCAGAUAAUAAAACCAAUGGCCAAGUUAAGUGCAGCAUUAAUACACUCUGCAUGUCACAUGAUUAGCAGGUUCCUAACAUGGACUAAGGUCAAGCUACAACAAAUUUAUCUUCCUAAUUAAAAGGUUAUUCAGGUCAAACCCUACAUUUAACUCUACUUUGCAUUUGGCUGUUUCAGCUAUGUUUCACUAUAUGCAAGGACAGCUUGGAAAUUCAUCCCCUGUUCUGAGAUUAAGGAAAAGGUUGGGAGGUCUCUCCUGAAAGGCAUUUCCAUUAAAUAUAUCCCAGAAGGAUCCCAUUUUCAGUGACCCACAAAUGCCUCCGCUGGGCACCAGGCACUGCGUGGUGGAAGGAGACCUUGGAAGCAUUUCCUCGGGUUUAGUUUCUUUCAAGCUGAGGAUAUGAAAUGGACUUGAUCAGAACACAGAAGAGGGCUUUCUCCCUGCCUGCCGGGUCAUCCGGAGCCUGCUGGAUGCACAGCCUGCUCUUUGCCAGCACGGGAGAAACUCAGCCAUGAAUACAGCCAUGGCAUUUGCUGUUGAGGUUGGUGUGAAGCUCCAUACCUGCCCAGACAGCCCAUCGACCCCAAUUAUUAAUGCAGCCCAGAACUUGGCCACUAGAAGAUGGACAAUAAUCUAAAUGCCAAAAAUAUCCCCCUCUCCCUCCAAAUUUAAAAGAAAAGGGACAGUAGCCACUCCCUGCCAGCUUCCCCUGGUGGAUCCCCAUCAGCUGUGACGCAUGAGGUCAGCAGUGCUGGCUCUCACCAGCACUGACCCAUACGUUCCCAGUAAGGUGCAUGUCUGCAGGGUGCUGCCAGGGGGCAAAGAAGCUUCCUGGGACAUGGUCAGAGCCUCUUGUACUGCCCUGCUGGGGUGCUUGUGGAGGAAGCUAUAGUACACGAAGAAAGAAACUCAAGUGGAGUUACUAAAAAUUAAGACUUGCGAUAGCCAACAGCUGUCUGGACUGCUUUGGGUUUGGGUAGGAGGGGGAGAAUGCAGGAUGGGGCUGAGAAUCAUUUUGGUGCAACUGCCUGUGUUGCCCAAGACCAGUUCAAGGUGGGGACGGGGGAAAGAUGAUGGCUGCUUUGAGAAAGGAGUGAAAGGAGGACGUAUGCAAUAUAACAAGGCUUGCAAUUCUAGAACUAACCAUUGGACAUAGAUAUCAAAGUUUACCUGUGACAACUACUUAUACUUCUAUCACUGCUGCUGCUUUCCUUGCUUCCUUGUCUAACCCUUCCAUAGUUUGGGAAGCUGUAGCUGUUGGUGUGAUGGUCAGCUCUGGCUCUCCCUCCACAGCCCCACACAGCACACAAGGGGACUCAGCUGCAGGAUGCGGUGAGCUCUGGAAGAUGCACAUUAGACACAGAGCAGCUCUGCAUGCAAGUGGCAUCUGCUUUCAGAACCUUUCAGAAAGCUGUUUUGUAGUGGUUCAUUCCCUUCUUUAUUAAACUGAAGGUUCAGUAGACCCCAUGAAAGGAUUUUAAAUGGUUAUAAAUGUGCAUAAGGGGAGAAAGGGGAAUAUCUUUCUGGAUUUUCUCCUCUGCAAAGACUGUCCUCUGCUAGAGCUAUUCCCCCUGCAGAACUGCACGCCUACCAGCAUUUGCUUCAUAGCAGACAAGGGAACCACUGACAGAUGUCCCAGCCGUGCCUCCCAUGGCUGUCAGGCUCAUGCAGGGAUCUUGAGUCCCAGACCCAGCAGGGUGAUGCUGGCUCACACCAAGGUUUUAAAAUCACCUGGGUGACCAUCAGCCCCCCCUCUUUCCUCUGGGCUGAUCAGGAGGGCAAAGGGAAAUCCUGGCUGUCUCACUGGCUCUCCCAACAGUCACACUUGCUGCAUCUCCUGCUGGGCUGCUGUGAGGAGAGCUGGCCCAAGUUUUCCACCUCUCCAUGGGUCUGUAUCACAUCACAGCUUAAUGGAGACCUCACCUGGGGCAGGUAAAUGGGCAGCUAGGGGAGGGCAAACACCUCAGCAAAUAACAGGACUUAUCUCAGCGCAGCCUAUCAGUGGCCCUUCUUUUCCCAGUGCUUACUGCUCUGUUUCCAGUGACACAUCUGAAAGUAACAUUUUAAUGACGUUUCAAUUGGACCUUCCACUCCCAGAUACAAUUCCACUGCCCCUCUCACCAUUUGUUGCUAUGGAAAUGACUGUUUCACAGACUGGGUGCAAUCAGCAAGAUGUGCUCCUUCUGGAAGCAAAUGCAUCUUUGGCUCAGACCUACCACCAGUUUCUGCUGGCAAUUUAGUCUGGGAAGCAAUGGGAAGAGUUGCUCUCUAUGGGUGCCAGGGAAAGCUGCAGUCUGUGCUGGUGUGUGUGUGUUCUGCUCUGUGCCAUGGCAUUCUGCAUGCUCUGCUCCAUGUAACUUCAGUUAGCCAUGUCCCUGGCCUUCCCAGCAAGCUGCCAGAGGAGUGCUCAGCCAGACAGCACCUGGCUGCUGUGAUCCUGGGACUGCCACCAGUGUUUGGGGUCACAGGAAAGGAUAUAGCUGCAAUUUUUGGGAAGCAAGGCAACGGUUCAGCUGCAUUACACGGGUAGUGAAAUCUCAGAUGGCAGCCCCUGUGAGAAGCCUGCUCCUGGGUUAGUGCGGCAUUAACCUUCUGUAUGCAAUCCCAGGUCACAGCUGACCCUUCUGUGCUAAGCUGAUAGCCCUUCUGCUUCAGAGCUGCAUGGCUCUGCAACGGGCAGGUUUGUCUGAUGAAGUGCAGUUCAAGGUCUGGAGUGAUCUCUUGCAAAAGAAAGCCUUGACAGGAAAUGACAAGGAUGUUGUGUCCUCCUAGAGGACACACUGACCAACUAUGAAAAUCUAUUUUCAAUACAUGAAAAGCAGAGAGAGACAGAAGCUGUGAAGAGACGGCUCUGAAGGAUGCCAGAGGCCAAAACCAGGGUACAUUCAGGGUGGCACGUGCAGCCUGUGCUUGCUGAGCCCAGCAGCAGCCAGGUGACAAAGCCUGUUUUGGUAUAGGUGGGAGGGCCAUACCCCAUGUGUGCUUGAAGGAAGAAUGGAAAAAUGAAGGGAGAGACCCGACAAAUACAUCUUGUAUUGUUACAUAAAUGCUAAGAAUAAAAGCAUGAAACUGCCUUGGUAAUAUCACAAAUGAGCAUUUCAGUGAUCGCUUCCAUUCAAUUAGAGCUCACUAUCUGAGUUGUAAAAACACCUGCACUUUGAAAUCCCUUAACUCUGCUAGCACGGGAUGGUGCUGUUGGGCCACUGAAUGUUACUACACAUUCUCUGUGUCAGCAUGCACACUGAGUAGCCAGCUGUGCAAAGGCAAGAACCAAAUAACUGGGAAACAUAUCCUUGCCAAACAUCUGUCCCUAAAGCUGCUUAAUCUCUCUACUAAGCUCCACUCUGCAGCAUUCUGAUACAAGAAUAGAACCAGAAGCAGGUAAACUGAGGGAGAGUUGUCUUGCUGUUCUUUGUAGAAUUAUGAAACUACCUGUUUAUAGCAUGUUUUUUGCAUCUUGCUUGCAGAGCUAUUCUAACAAUGGUGCCCACUGUACACUCAGUAACAUCCAUGCAAGGUGGUAGUGUCCUGGGAAGGCAGAUUUCUUCCCAGUGCAGCAGAAGGGAAUGGAUGACUAGAGGGGAUGUGACUUGCCUGAGGCUAGAGCAAACAUCUAACAUGUGCCAAAAGCAGCACGAUCUCAUUUCUGUGCUCUGUAGGUCCAGUAGAUUCUUUGCAGUAGUAUUUGGCUGUAGUGCCAUACCAGGGACAUGGUGUUUUUUGAGUGUGCAUCUGAAAGCAAGAUUUGCUCCUUGCUGGUGUCGGCACUGUACUGAGAUAGAUAAGCCUGGAAUACUGGGACAUGUCCUGGCCCACGGCAGCAUUUGGCAGCCUUUCCAGCUAUUGCUUGUUUUUCUUCUAUCAUUCCAUCUGGUGCUCAGCUGGGUCUCUCCUUCCUUCAAAAGCAUCUUCAUUUUGCUGUUGAGUCACAUGCAGGGUGCUGCACUUUUCAAGCUUCCUGUGCACUGUUGUACAGCUUGCAGGCCACCCGGGGGACAAAUUGCAUGGAGAGAGAAGGUUUCUGCUCAGGAUUUCAGACCGGUGUGUCCGCCAGCACACAGCUGAGCAGAGCAGCUGCCUCCUUCUGCGAAAGGAGAUGGAGAGCCAAACCAGAGCAGCUGAGUCUGUCCUGUCCAUGGGUGAGCACAGCAUCUAGAAGUCCAUUUUGAAGUCUGUGCUCCAGGCUUGGCCCUCUGCUUUUGCAGUUGCAAAGCAUCUGCAAGCAAGAUGGACAGAGAAUAGCAGACUGGAGGGUCAAAUGUACACCUUGGGGGCUGACAUGCAGCGACAUCAGAUUUGAUCCAGUGCCUCUUCCAAAGGCUGGCUUCGAGAUAAGUCUGCUAAGAUCAAAGGAGCCUCUGGGAUGGUCAUCUAGACAUCAGCCU